GGAGAGAUGGCUGAGCUGGUCUAAGGCGCACGCCUGGAAAGUGUGUGAACCGGAAACGGUUCCGAGGGUUCGAAUCCCUCUCUCUCCGCCA
This 91-nucleotide transfer RNA is filed under the name Oscillospiraceae bacterium. RNAcentral describes it as "tRNA-Ser". It matches the Rfam family "tRNA". From Rfam's summary of the family: Transfer RNA (tRNA) molecules are approximately 80 nucleotides in length. Their secondary structure includes four short double-helical elements and three loops (D, anti-codon, and T loops). The record is from RNAcentral. Lineage: Bacteria; Bacillati; Bacillota; Clostridia; Eubacteriales; Oscillospiraceae.